Molecule: ribosomal RNA, 555 nt
Filed under: uncultured bacterium
Lineage: Bacteria
Description: partial 16S ribosomal RNA
Rfam family: Bacterial small subunit ribosomal RNA
Source: RNAcentral
UAGGGAAUCUUCCACAAUGGACGCAAGUCUGAUGGAGCAACGCCGCGUGAGUGAAGAAGGUUUUCGGACCGUAAAGCUCUGUUGUUGGUGAAGAAGGAUAGAGGUAGUAACUGGCCUUUAUUGAACGGUAAUCAACCAGAAAGUCACGGCUAACUACGUGCCAGCAGCCGCGGUAAUACGUAGGUGGCAAGCGUUGUCCGGAUUUAUUGGGCGUAAAGCGAGCGCAGGCGGAAGAAUAAGUCUGAUGUGAAAGCCCUCGGCUUAACCGAGGAAUUGCAUCGGAAACUGUUUUUCUUGAGUGCAGAAGAGGAGAGUAGAACUCCAUGUGUAGCGGUGGAAUGCGUAGAUAUAUGGAAGAAUACCAGUGGCGAAGGCGGCUCUCUGGUCUGCAACUGACGCUGAGGCUCGAAAGCAUGGGUAGCGAACAGGAUUAGAUACCCUGGUAGUCCAUGCCGUAAACGAUGAGUGCUAAGUGUUGGGAGGCUUCCGCCUCUCAGUGCUGCAGCUAACGCAUUAAGCACUCCGCCUGGGGGAGUACGACCGCAAGGUUGAAAC